GUGCUUGCUUUGGCAGCACAUAUACUAAAAUUCAAACGAUACAGAGAAGAUUAGUGUGGCCCCUGUGCAAGGAUGACAUACAAAUUAAUGAAGGAUUCCAAUUAAAA
Small nuclear RNA from Pongo abelii (Sumatran orangutan), 107 nucleotides. The record is from Ensembl. NCBI's taxonomy places the organism in Eukaryota, Metazoa, Chordata, Mammalia, Primates, Hominidae.